This 1514-nucleotide long non-coding RNA is filed under the name Homo sapiens (human). RNAcentral's name for it is "HSALNT0198569". The record is from RNAcentral. Lineage: Eukaryota; Metazoa; Chordata; Mammalia; Primates; Hominidae.
GUGUAUGGCACGUGUGGUAUGUGUACCUGUGUGAGGUGUGUAUAGUGUGUGAGUGAGGGGUGUGUGUGUUGUGUGUGUGACUGUAUACGUCUGUAUGAAGUGUGUGAGGGAUAGGUGUCUGUGAGGUGUGUGUUUCUGUGUAAGGCAUUUGUACGUGUGUGGUGUGUGAAGUGUGUGUUUAUGUGAGAUGUGUGUGUGAGUUGUGUGUGUGUGGUGUGUGUGGCAUGUUUGUGUGGAGCGUGUCUUUGUGUAGCAUGUGUGUAUAGUGUGAGGUGUGUGUGCAUGUGUGGGGUGUAUAGGGGGUGUCUGUAUGAGAUGUGUGCACGUGUGUCUGUGAGAGGUGUGUGUGUGCAUGUGUGAGGUAUAUGAAGUGUUUGUGUGAUGUGCGUGGUGUGUUUCUGUGUGGUAUUUGUGUGGUGUGUUCGCAUACAUGUGUGUGGUAUGGGAGGUAUGUGUGUGGUGUGUGAGGUGUGUGUCUGUGUGAAGUAUGGGGUGUGUGAAGUGUGUGGUGUGUAUGUGUGAGGUGUAUAUGUGUGUGAAAUAUGUAUGUGGUGUGUUUGUAUGUGUAUGUGUUUGAGGGGUGUGUGUGUAUGUGUGUGAGGUGUGUGUGUGUGAGGGGUGAGGUGUGUGUGGUGUGUGUGCGAGGUGUGUGGGGGGUUGAGGUGUGAGAUGUGGGAGGUGUGUGGUGUGUGUGAGGUGUGUGUAUGUGUUGGAGGUAUUUGCGUAUGUAUGCGUGUGAAUGUGUGUAUGUGUGUGAAAUGUUUAUGUGGUGUGUUUGUAUUUGUAUGUGUGUGAGGUGUGUGGUGUGUGAGGAGUGCCUGUGGUGUGUGUGUGAGGUGUGUAUAUGUGUGAAAUAUGUAUAUGGUGUGUGUGUAUGUGUGUGAGGUGAGUGUGGUGUGUGAGGUGAGUAUAUGUGUGAAAUGUGUAUAUGGUGUGGUGUGUGUGUGAAGUGUAUGUGUGUGAGGUGUGUAUGUGUGUGAGGUGUGUAUGUGUGUGAAAUAUGUAUAUGGUGUAUUUGUAUGUGUAUAUAUGUGAGGUGUGUGGUGUGUGUGUGUUAUGUGUGUGAAAUGUGUAUAUGGUGUAUUUGUAUGUGUAUGUGUGUGAGUAGUGUGUGGUGUGUGUUAUGUGUGAAGUGUAUGUGAGGUGUGCUAUGUGUGUGAAAUGUGUAUAUGGUGUAUUUGUAUGUGUAUGUGUGUGAGUGGUGUGUGUGGUGUGUGGUGUGUGUGAGGUGUAUGUGAGGUGUGUAUGUGUGUGAAAUGUGUAUAUGUUGUGUUUGCAUGUCUGUGGAUGUGUGGUAUGUGUGAGGUGCCUGUGAGGGGUGUGCACACACCGGCACAGAUACACUGAGGAGAUGUCCCUCUUGGCUCAGCGGCGUGGACGUGUGCUAUGGGAUUGGAACAGUCGGGAGGAGGAAGGCGCUCGCCUUCUCUGUGCGCAUGUCCUUUGACUUUUUCUUACAGACUCCUGCUCUGAUGUGCUGAUCUCUGAGUCAUGUUUCUCUUUUCAUGCUAGAC